GAACGCAGGAGGUUGCAGGCAGCUCUGACCAGCCUGUCUCUCCCUACCCCUUGUUUCAGACCUCUCCAGAGUCUGAUGUCCUUCUGCACAGUCCUUGUUGUCCAGUCUGUGGCCCAAACACCCACAGGGCAUGGUGGAGGCCUGAGACAGCACUGGUUUUGCUGAGGCCAUCAGAAAAGCUUACGAAGCAGGCUCGGCCAUUGGCUGGAGGUCACUGGCCCCUGCUGGGCUCAUGCAAUACUCAUGGAACUGGUGUGGGCUCCUGCGGGCUCCCUGUGAGCAAUGCCUCACCCAUUUACAGCUUGUCAAAGGACUCGUUCAAUAUCCUGUGUCCCUUUCUGUUUAUUUUUUCUCUCCCCCCGUGCUGUCCUCCUUCCACUCUCCCCGACCACCCCUCUUCUUUUUAAGCUCUUGGCACCAAGUAGCUAUGAAGACUCUGAGACCUGGACCAUCCCAAGGCUGUAGCUUUCUUUCUUCAAGUCUGGCAGGCUCUGUCGCUGUGAAGAGUCUGAAGGCUUUUUCUUUUCCAGAUGUAAUUACUAACCAACAUUCACAUCAGAUUCACAAUUGGAAAGCCAGCUGUUAAACACUUACCAGCUCACUACUGGAAAGAAGUAUAUAUGGACUACUCCCUUGUAUGAUUCCAGAAGAAAGAACGUUAUAAAACACCUACAACUUGGCAAUCAGGGGCCUGAGGUACAGCUGAAGUACAGCUGUGGAACAGGAGAUGCUAAUUCCUAAGAAGAGAGCAACACAGAUUUUACAGUCAGCAGCCAGAGGUUACCCUCAGAACAAGAAUGUGAAAAAUAAACCAGAUAUGCUAAACUGAACUCUACCACUGGACACCAACAAGGGUAAAUGGUAGAAAAGCCAUAAUCACUUCUAAAUUCAAGGGUAGGAUUAAUACUAUAUUUUCACGGUACCUGAAAGUUCUGUGGCCUUUCCUAGACACCAGUUCAUGUGAUUGCCGGAACAGAACUGAGGUUGAGGGGAAAGUUAGGUAUCAGCAUUGAGCCCAUUUUACAGAUGGGAAACUGAGACACUGGAAGGUAAAAUAGUUUGCCCAAGGUUACUUUUUCUGCAUAAAUGGCUACCCUGGGACUAGAUGGGGACAGAACUACCACAGACUUGGGGGUCAGACAUACUUUGGUUAAAAACUCAACCUUGACAUUUAUGUAACAUUGGUAACGUUACUUUACCUUUUUAAAGCCUUGGGUUUUUGUUUGUUUGUUUAAACUUACAAAAUGGGGAUGAUAAAGCCAGAUCCCAAGUUUGCAGUGAGGGUUAGUUUAAGAUGAUGACAGAUGCAAAGGACUUGAUGAUUGGGAAGACUUUGCACCUCCUAUCGUGUACUUACAUUACUUAUAUUUGAUUUUGAAAUACAGUAUAAGACUCUUUUGGCUAAC
Long non-coding RNA from Piliocolobus tephrosceles (Ugandan red Colobus), 1406 nucleotides. RefSeq lists it as uncharacterized. The transcript has 2 exons. NCBI's taxonomy places the organism in Eukaryota, Metazoa, Chordata, Mammalia, Primates, Cercopithecidae. The record is from RefSeq and is a predicted model, not a curated record.